Molecule: long non-coding RNA, 5768 nt
Organism: Carya illinoinensis
Lineage: Eukaryota; Viridiplantae; Streptophyta; Magnoliopsida; Fagales; Juglandaceae
Exons: 3
Source: RefSeq, a predicted model, not a curated record
UUCUUCAAACCUUUCUUUGUUUGGUGUUAUUAUGAUAUCAGAACUGCUAACUAGCAGUCUCUUGAUCCGCCACCUUCACCAUGACUAGAGAAACCUCACCUCCCCUCCACUCUUUCCUUAGUUCCUCAGCCUUUAUUUUCCCUUCCUUUUUGCACAUAGUGACCAUCAAACUUAACUCAAAUAACCAUCUCCUAUGGCGUGUCCAGAUUUCAACUUACCUCAGAGGUCUCUAUUCAUACAUCGAUGGUACUCAACCUAUACCUCCUGCCCUUGUUUCCUCCUCUACUAAUCCAAAUCCAACCUAUCAAUCUUGGCGGAAAACCGACCAACUCAUCCUUAGUAUACUCUUUUCUUCUCUUUCGGAGCCUAUCAUUGGUCAUGUUAUCAAAUCAACCACCUCCAGAGAUCUCUGGAAAACUCUUGAAUCCAUGUUCAGUUCCUACUCUCAAGCCAAGGAAUUUCAGAUUAGAUUUUAACUUACCAACCUUUCUCGUGGUGACCAACCAAUAUCAGAGUAUUUCAAUAAAGUUCGAAUGCUUUUCGACACCAUUUCUACCACUGGUACUCCCCUCUCAGAAAAAGAACUUGUGACUUACCUGUUGAAUGGUCUUGGACCCACCUAUGAAGGCUUCAUCACAUCCAUCACCACCCGUAUUGACCCAAUCACCGUAAUUGAAUUCUAUCAUCUCCUCCUCAUCCAUGAAAAUCGUCUGUCCUAUACUUCCCGUAAUCAUCUCACUGAACCUUCCGUCAACUUCACCUCUGGAAUUUCUCGUGAUAAUAGAGGCAGACCACCCAACCGUGGCCAACGUUUUCAUAGAGGACGAAAUAGAUUCUCUCAAACCCGAGGGCGUUCGUCACCUUCAAAUCAAUUCAACCCACAGCCUUACUAGUCAAACAGACCCACCUGCCAAGUCUGUAGCAAACCAGGCCACGUUGCUCUUCAGUGCUACUUCUGUUUUGAUCAUGCUUACCAGUAUGAACCACCUCGUUCCUUCUCAGCAAACUACACCUCACCUUCUCUCAUGACAGAUUCUUCCUGGUACCCAGAUUCCGGAGCCAAGCAUCACAUUACAAAUGAUCUUUCACACCUUAACAUAUCAUUGGAACCAUAUGGAGGAGCAGAACAGAUUCGCGUCGGGAACGGUACUGGUUUGCCUAUUAGUAACAUUGGUGAACCCUCUUUCAAAACUCAUUCGUCCUCUUUCACUCUUUCUAAACUACUUCAUGUACCAUCAAUAACAAAGAAUCUUGUCUCUGUUUCUCAGUUUUGCAAUAACAACUCAUGUUUUUUUGAAUUUCAUUCCACCUAUUUUCUGGUUAAGGACAAAGCGACAGGAACGCUCCUCAUCAGCGGCCCUCUUCGUGAUGGACUCUACCAGUUCCCAUCACCACUACCCUCCUCCAGUCCCUCCACUUACAUCGGCGAACGCGUCUCUCUCAGCCACUGGCAUAGGUGAUUGGGCCAUCCUUCCAUUGAUCUGGUCUCUUGCAUUGUUCACGCCAACCAUUUACCUUAUUUCCCGAAUGACUCUGCUUUUCAUUGUUUUGAUUGCCCAUUAGCAAAAUCACAUCAGUUACCAUUUUAUCCUAGUACCACUCGGACCACUAAACCAUUGCAACUUAUUUGGGCUAGUGUAUGGGGUCCAACCCCUUUAUUAUCAAGAAAUGGGUUUCAGUAUUAUUUGUCAAUUGUGGACCACUUUCACGCUACACUUGGUUAUUUCCCAUUCAGCUCAAAUCAGAUGUAUUACAACAAUUUGAAUCAUUCAUCAACUUUGCCAAAAGGUUUUUUAAUACUAAAAUGAUAACCAUUCAAACAGAUGCUGGUGGGAAAUUUCGUCCCUUAACUUCCUUGUGCAAAACACUUGGAAUUUCUCACCGUUUUUCUUGUCCCCAUACUCACCAAUAGAACAAACUUGUUGAACGUAAACACCGCCACAUAGUAGAAACUGGACUCACUCUUCUCUCCCAAGCAUCACUCCCCCUUUCUUUUUGGGAUGACGCUUUUCAAACUGCCACAUACUUAAUAAAUCUACUUCCCACACCAGUCCAUAAUAAUAAAUCUCCACAUUACAUUAUUCAUCACACAUCUCCCGAUUACUCAUUUUUAAAAAUUUUUGGUUGCCUCUGCUGGCCCAAUCUCAGGCCCUACAAUCGUCACAAACUAAACUAUCGAUCCACUCCUUGUACCUUCCUUGGUUACAGCCCUUCACAUAAAGGAUACAAAUGCCUUGAUUCAAAGAAUCACAGAUUAUAUAUUUCUUGAGAUGUAACCUUUGCUGAAGAUAUUUUUCCUUACUCCAAACAAACAAACCCGGCCCCUCAACCCAGCUCACCUACCAUACCCUUACAUACUUUUCCCAUCCAUACUCGGCCCUCGUCCAGUAUCAAACCCUACUCAGCCACCCGAUACACCCACUCAGCCAAAUUCCAUACUCGGCCCACGUCCCUCACCUAGCCCAACUAAUCUUCCUACCUCACAAUCUACUCCACGUGACCCUUCUUCAUCUCAGCCCAUCAUCCUUCCAUCUGAUGUCACUAAUCCAGAAACUUCAUCUUCCUCAUCCUUACCUCACGACCAGACCUCCAUUCCACCAGAACAAACUCAAUCUCCGUUACUUCCUCCUCGGUCUCAGAUCAUCACACGUUCCCAAACCAAUUCUUCUAGACCUCGGCAAUUUACUGAUGGCACAGUACCUUUCCCCCCUCGUCGCUGUCUUCUCUCCACUGCAACAAUUCCGGAUGAACCCUCCUCUUUCACCACAGCUUCAAAAUUUCUUGAAUGGCGUCAAGCCAUGUCCCAUGAGUUUGAUGCAUUGGUUCACACUAACACGUGGACUCUAGUUCCACAUUCUUGUGCUUCUAAUGUAGUGGGAUGCAGAUGGGUCUUCAAGACCAAGCUACGGGCAGACGGCUUCAUCGAAAGGCGAAAAGUUAAACUCGUUGCAAAGGGGUUCCACCAACAACCCGGAAUUGACUACACGGAAACGUUCAGUCCUAUGGUCAAGCCAUCCACCAUCAGACUUGUUCUUUCCGUCGCUAUCUCUCACCGUUGGCCACUGCGGUAGAUCGACAUUCAGAACUUUUUUCUACACGGCGAACUCUCGGAAGCAGUCUUUAUGCAACAACCACCUGGAUUCAUCGACUCCAACAAACCUGACUUCGUCUGUAAGCUCAACAAAACCCUUUACGGACUCAAGCAGUCCCCUCGUGCAUGGUUUGAGAAAUUACGUUCCUGGCUUCUCAGCUAUGGCUUUUCAGCAUCUCAAGGUGACCCAUCCCUCUUUUUUCUUCAUAAGAAUAGCCUCUGCAUUUUCGUUUUAGUCUACGUUGACGAUAUGGUUAUUACGUCCUCAUCACCUGUUGCGGUUGAUACUCUAAUUUCUGCACUCAGUCACGCUUUCCUUGUCACUGAUCUCGGCAAAAUUUCAUACUUUUUGGGGUUAGAAUUGACAUACAUGCCCGAUGGAAUUUUAAUGUCACAAAAAAAAAUACAUCACAGACAUUUUAGCUCGAGCCAACAUGUUAGCUGCUAAUCCGAUCUCCUCUCCAAUGUCUGUCUCCACCAAACUGUCCAAGUUCGAUUCCCCGACCUUUGACAAUGUCACCUUGUUUUGGAGUGUGGUUGGAAGUUUGCAGUACCUCUCCCUGACCAGACCAGGCAUCUCUUUUUCAGUAAAUAAAGUCUGCCAAUUUAUGCAUGAUCCCAAACUCAGUCAUUGGACAGCAGUCAAGCGUAUCUUGAGAUACCUCAAACACACCAUCAACCACUGUUUCUUCUUCUCAUAUUGCUCCAAUCUGUCCCUUCAUGCCUACUCAGAUGCCGACUGGUCUGGUUGCCCAGACUAUCGACGUUCAAUAGGGGGUUUUUGCAUCUAUUUAGGACAUCACCUCAUUUCAUGGAGCUCUCGCAAACAACAUACAGUGGCUAGAUCCAAUACUAAGGCCGAAUAUAAGUCCCUAGCAAACACUAUUGUUGAGAUAAUUUCGUUACAAACUCUAAUCAAGAAACUUGGUCUCCCAUUAUCUAAAGCUCCAGUGUUAUGGUGUGACAACUUAAGGACGAUGUAUCUCACUGCCAACCCCAUAUAUCAUUCCCGUACUAAACACAUGGACAUAGACUUCUACUUUGUAAGGGAUAGAGUUGCCGCAAAAACACUUCAGGUCUCCUUCUGCAGUAGCAAGGAUCAACUGGUUGAUAUCUUUACAAAACUACUAGUGACAGAUAGAUUUGCAACACUAAUAGCGAGUCUCUCUGUGCGUGAACCCCCAGUGGACUCGAGGGGGCAUGUCAACCCAAGAAAAUCACUUAAGCAAUAUGACUCAGCAAAUGUGCUGGACACUGACUUUGAAGAUCACACCUCAGCAGAAGCUUCAGGAAUAUCACCGUGAUUUACAUUUUGUUAUUUUCUUUGGCAGCUAGUGUAACUGCAUUGAUUCUCUAAUAUUCCCUUCUAUUCCUCUGUACUCAAGUCUAUAAAUACGUAGACCUAUUACACUGUAAAGCAUAUUGUGAAAUGAAUAGAAUUCUUCAAGCCUUUCUUUGUCUGGUGUUAUUAAAGGUCAAACACCUCAACUCUUCAUUUUUCCCAUCAACAUUCAUAAGUUGUGACUUAAUUUUGAGUUUCAAAAACGUGUACAAUUUUCUUCCUCAAAUUAGCAGUGAAACAUCUGAUUUUCUCAGACUCGAUAACACAUCAAAAGCAACUAUUCCGUUAAGAGUUUCUCAAUGACGCAGUGUUUGCGGGAGCUAGGUACGACGAAGUAGCUUCGAUCUGGAAUCUUGAAGCUGCGUUUGGGCUUAUAAAAGGAUCGUACUUGAAGUAUUAUGAAACUAUGAAACUAUGAAAUUAAGUCACAUAUAUGAUAAAAGGAAAAGGAAAAUCUCCUUCAAAUUUCUGUGCAUGUGACAUUUUCUGGGAAAGCCAUGCUCCUACCGAUAAAGACUACUUAAACUUUGGACUAAGUACGCACCAAAGAUCUGCAAUCUGUUUACAACAACGAGCUGGAAGCUGAGAGAAAGAAAGCAUAGUCGAGGAGUCAAAGAUCAGGAAGCAGAUGAAUCUAAACAAGAUCAGGAUUGCCACCAAAAGUAUAAUAUCCUCGGCUGAUACAGGUUUUCUUCAUGGCAGAAAACCAACAUCAGAAGUAUUACCAGCAGAUCAAAAGUUGUACGUACAGGCUGUGUGAAAGAAAGUUUGGGUCUGCGAAGCACAGUCCAAUUUGUGGAGUCAAACAUUGCCGGCAAACUCAAUGGGUAAGAACUUUUUGUAUUAAUGAAUUUGCUGCCACGAGUAUUGUUGUCAGUGGACAAAGUAGUUGGAAGAUGGAUCAUCAUGUAUUGGAAAAUUUAGGAGAUGCUCAAAAUCUCUGAAAGCCAUCAUGUAUUGGAAAGCAUAUUUUUGGGUUCCAAUUUCCAAAGACAAAACUCACAGAUUUGGUUGGACUCGUAGAUUUUUAUUAAUUCCAGUGGUAAAAAGAACUUCCGCGUGCGGCACCACGACAUGCACCAGAGAACAUGGAGCAUGUUCAUUGCAAAGCAUAAUGCUAGCUUUUGUUACCAAGAAGCAUUUGGACCACAUGAUCCAAAAUUAAAGAUUGGGUUUUGUACCAGACGAUUUGUUUUUAAUUGUUUUUUCAUUUAAGUAGUUCCCUAUUACAACAGUCUGAUAAGUAUACUGAUCAGCUACCAGGCCAGUCAAUUAGGGUCCAUGUUGCUUUUGCCAUAAGAAAACCCAAUAAGAAAUUGAACCAUUAUUAGUCUA